RNAcentral lists this ribosomal RNA (378 nucleotides) under Strombidiidae sp. Its description in RNAcentral is "partial small subunit ribosomal RNA". It matches the Rfam family "Eukaryotic small subunit ribosomal RNA", at positions 582 to 975 of the family's 1831-position model. The record is from RNAcentral. Lineage: Eukaryota; Ciliophora; Spirotrichea; Strombidiidae.
AUUCCAGCUCCAAUAGCGUAUAUUAAAGUUGUUGCAGUUAAAAAGCUCGUAGUUGGAUUUCUGACAGGGGGCCGAACACCACUGUAGUGAGUGUUUUGGUACCUGUCAUCCUUCUGUUAACCCUAGCGUCAUUCAUUUGUCGUUGGGCGGACCAGAUACUUUACCUUGAGAAAAUUAGAGUGUUUCAGGCAGGCCUAGCCGGAAUACAUUAGCAUGGAAUAAUGGAAUAGGACUAUAGUCUCGUCGUUGGUUACGUGGACUGCAGUAAUGAUUAAUAGGGAUAGUUGGGGGCAUUAGUAUUUAUUAGCUAGAGGUGGAAUUCUCUAAUUUGAUAAAGACUAACUUAUGCGAAAGCAUUUGCCAAGGAUGUUUUCAUUG